ACAUCAACUUCAUCAGUCUCAACAGAAUUGUGACCUCCAGAAACAAAAUCAAGUUCUUGUUUCACUUCUAUUGAAUUCAUUGGAAUCUCUGCAUCCACUAAAUUGUGGGGAGCCAGUCGGACAGAAUCUUCAGGAACAGUAUCUGGUAGGCACUGGGUGGAUGAUUCUCCUGUGCCAGCACUCCACCUUCUCAAUACAGAUUUAUUUGCACUAAUAGAGAUGUCAGCUAAUGACCUCUUCUGAAUAUCUGCGGCCUGAUCUUUCUGUUUGCUUUCAAAAAGAUUAAUUGCAUCUUGAACGCUCAUCCUUCCUACAUUAUUUUCAGGUUUUUUAUAGGGUUGCUCAGAUCCUUCAUCCUCGCUACUGUUUGCGGCAGCAUCUCUAUGUGAUAAUACCCUUUCCCUAGCAGGAAAAUAAUUAAGGCUCUUAAUGGUUAAGGCAGUGGCCCGGCGUGAUCCAGUUCUCCCUAUUUGU
RNAcentral lists this long non-coding RNA (474 nucleotides) under Vitis vinifera (wine grape). RNAcentral describes it as "long non-coding RNA (VVIN_LNC003981)". Lineage: Eukaryota; Viridiplantae; Streptophyta; Magnoliopsida; Vitales; Vitaceae. The record is from RNAcentral.